AUGCAAGUCGAGCGAAUGGAUUAAGAGCUUGCUCUUAUGAAGUUAGCGGCGGACGGGUGAGUAACACGUGGGUAACCUGCCCAUAAGACUGGGAUAACUCCGGGAAACCGGGGCUAAUACCGGAUAACAUUUUGAACCGCAUGGUUCGAAAUUGAAAGGCGGCUUCGGCUGUCACUUAUGGAUGGACCCGCGUCGCAUUAGCUAGUUGGUGAGGUAACGGCUCACCAAGGCAACGAUGCGUAGCCGACCUGAGAGGGUGAUCGGCCACACUGGGACUGAGACACGGCCCACACUCCUACGGGAGGCAGCAGUAGGGAAUCUUCCGCAAUGGACGAAAGUCUGACGGA
This 347-nucleotide ribosomal RNA is filed under the name Bacillus sp. 1-1. Its description in RNAcentral is "bacterial SSU rRNA". It matches the Rfam family "Bacterial small subunit ribosomal RNA", at positions 55 to 390 of the family's 1533-position model. Lineage: Bacteria; Bacillati; Bacillota; Bacilli; Caryophanales; Bacillaceae. The record is from RNAcentral.